GCAGCAGGCGCGAAAACUUUACAAUGCGGGAAACCGUGAUAAGGGAACUCCGAGUGUCCGUAAAUGCGGACUGUCCGUAUGUCUAAAACGCAUGCGAAGAAAGGGCCGGGCAAGACCGGUGCCAGCCGCCGCGGUAAUACCGGCGCCUCGAGUAGUGGCCACUAUUACUGGGCUUAAAGCGUUCGUAGCUGGGUUGUUAAGUCUCUUGGGAAAUCUACCGGCUUAACCGAUAGGCGUCCAAGGGAUACUGGCAAUCUAGGGACCGGGAGAGGUGAGGGGUACUUCAGGGGUAGGAGUGAAAUCCUGUAAUCCA
This 313-nucleotide ribosomal RNA is filed under the name uncultured archaeon. Its description in RNAcentral is "bacterial SSU rRNA". It matches the Rfam family "Archaeal small subunit ribosomal RNA", at positions 332 to 649 of the family's 1478-position model. The record is from RNAcentral.